Molecule: ribosomal RNA, 446 nt
Filed under: uncultured bacterium
Lineage: Bacteria
Description: bacterial SSU rRNA
Rfam family: Bacterial small subunit ribosomal RNA
Source: RNAcentral
CCAGACUCCUACGGGAGGCAGCAGUGGGGAAUAUUGCACAAUGGGGGAAACCCUGAUGCAGCAACGCCGCGUGGGUGAAGAAGUAUUUCGGUAUGUAAAGCCCUAUCAGCAGGGAAGAAGAUGACGGUACCUGACUAAGAAGCCCCGGCUAAAUACGUGCCAGCAGCCGCGGUAAUACGUAUGGGGCAAGCGUUAUCCGGAUUUACUGGGUGUAAAGGGAGCGCAGGCGGCGCGGCAAGUCAGAUGUGAAAGCCCGGGGCUCAACCCCGGGACUGCAUUUGAAACUGCCGUGCUGGAGUGUCGGAGAGGCAAGUGGAAUUCCUAGUGUAGCGGUGAAAUGCGUAGAUAUUAGGAGGAACACCAGUGGCGAAGGCGGCUUGCUGGACGAUAACUGACGCUGAGGCUCGAAAGCGUGGGGAGCAAACAGGAUUAGAUACCCCCGUACA